GUGUAGUCUGGCGGGAGCCGUCCCGGCUGGGCUGGCUCGGCAGCUCCAGGCUAUUCCGAGGAACAGUCUUCAGAGAGCCUGGGGUGCUGAUGGGGAAAAGCUGUUGCUGAGAUUUGACAAGUUUGGUCCUGAGAUGUCAGAAAGGAUUUCAGCUCUUCUGCCACCCCAAGGACCGUGGCGCGUAAAUCACAAGGACAAUGAAUCCAGGCAGUGAUCCACCAAUGAUAACUAACAUCAUAAAAAGAUACAUGGCCGGAUAUGAUGUUCCUUCUGACGGAAGACCACAACACCUGCUGAAAAAUCAAAUCUGAAUCGGAUCAAGCCUCUAGAGGAGGCAGCACCCAGGGUCAUUCUUGGAGCAUAAACGAUCCCUGCAGAACAUGGGCUAGAAGACCCCACAGUGGGGCAGAGGCAGGUCCUGGACUGGGAUCCCAGCAGUGAGAAGACCUGGACAUCAACCCUAUUUCAUUGUGUGGCCUCUGCAAAUCUCCCAACUUUUGGAGCUGUAGCUGCAAGCUCAGACUUGUGGUUUCCUGUACCUGGAGGAGGCCCAGGUCAUUCUGUUAAGUCCCUUGUCUAUUUCCUGUUUUUAUCUGGAUGCUGAGUUAAUUAUUUGAUCCAGCAAUAAAACUAACAAGGUUUUA
Pan troglodytes (chimpanzee) is the source of this 644-nucleotide long non-coding RNA. RefSeq lists it as uncharacterized. Lineage: Eukaryota; Metazoa; Chordata; Mammalia; Primates; Hominidae. The transcript is spliced from 3 exons. The record is from RefSeq and is a predicted model, not a curated record.